RNAcentral lists this ribosomal RNA (269 nucleotides) under uncultured Planctomycetales bacterium. RNAcentral describes it as "partial 16S ribosomal RNA". It matches the Rfam family "Bacterial small subunit ribosomal RNA", at positions 567 to 832 of the family's 1533-position model. Lineage: Bacteria; Pseudomonadati; Planctomycetota; Planctomycetia; Planctomycetales. The record is from RNAcentral.
AAGCACGUAGGUGGGUUUGUAAGUCAGAUGUGAAAGCCUCCUGUUCAACGGGAGAAUUGCAUCUGAAACUACUGAUCUUGAGUGUAGGAGGGGAGAAUGGAACUUCUGGUGGAGCGGUGAAAUGCGUAGAUAUCAGAAGGAGCGCCGGCGGCGAAAGCGAUUCUCUGGCCUAUUACUGACACUCAGUGUGCGAAAGCUAGGGGAGCAAACGGGAUUAGAUACCCCGGUAGUCCUAGCCGUAAACGAUGGGCACUAAGUAGAGGGGUUUU